This 304-nucleotide signal recognition particle RNA is filed under the name Cebus imitator (Panamanian white-faced capuchin). RNAcentral's name for it is "Metazoan signal recognition particle RNA (ENSCCAG00000002647.1)". It matches the Rfam family "Metazoan signal recognition particle RNA". Rfam says of the family: The signal recognition particle (SRP) is a universally conserved ribonucleoprotein. It is involved in the co-translational targeting of proteins to membranes. The eukaryotic SRP consists of a 300-nucleotide 7S RNA and six proteins: SRPs 72, 68, 54, 19, 14, and 9. Lineage: Eukaryota; Metazoa; Chordata; Mammalia; Primates; Cebidae. The record is from RNAcentral.
GCCGGGCGUGGUGGCGUGUGUCUGUAGUGCCAGCUAUUCAGGAGGCCGAGGCUGGAGGAUCUCUUGAGUCCAGGAGUUUGGGGCUGUAGCGCGCUAUGCCAGUCGGGUGUCCGCACUAAGUUCCGCAUCAAUAUGGUGAUCUCCCGGGAGCAGGGGACCACCAGGUUGCCUAAGGAGGGGUGAACUGGCCCAGGUCGGAAAUGGAGCAGGUCAAAACUCCUGUGCUGUGCUGAUCAGUAGUGGGAUCCCACCUGUGAAUAACCACUGCACUCCAGCCUGGGCAACAUAGCGAGACCCUGUCUGU